GGGCCCGUAGUAUAACCUGGACAGAAUGCGAGCUUGCGGAGCUUGAGAUCCGGGUCCAAAGACAUCCCUUUUCUUUGGGAAAGAAAAGGUCUGUCAACCCCAAAAGAAAACGACUGGUUGGAGACGCUUUAACCCCAGAAAAAGGACGUUAGGAAAUCCCGGCGGGCCCG
RNAcentral lists this transfer RNA (170 nucleotides) under Microcaldota archaeon. RNAcentral describes it as "tRNA-Arg". The record is from RNAcentral. Lineage: Archaea; Nanobdellati; Microcaldota.